AGAGUUUGAUCAUGGCUCAGGACGAACGCUGGCGGCGCGCUUAACACAUGCAAGUCGUGCGGUACCGAUGGCAAGUCUUCAUGACGAGCCUUCGGUAUAGCGGCGGACGGGUGAGUAACACGUGAGUAGCUGUCCUAGGGAGGGGGAUAACGCCUGGAAACGGGUGCUAAAACCCCAUAAGCCUCGCAAGAGGUGAAAGUGUACUUGUUACAGCCUUAGGGUGUGCUCGCGGCCUAUCAGCUAGUUGGUGAGGUAAGGGCUCACCAAGGCUAAGACGGGUAGCCGGCCUGAGAGGGUGUACGGCCACACUGGAAUUGAGAUACGGUCCAGACUCCUACGGGAGGCAGCAGUGGGGAAUUUUGGGCAAUGGGCGAAAGCCUGACCCAGCGACGCCGCGUUGGGGAUGAAGUCCUUCGGGGCGUAAACCCAUGUUGUAGGGGAAGAAGAAAGUGACGGUACCCUACGAGAAAGCCCCGGCCAACUACGUGCCAGCAGCCGCGGUAAAACGUAGGGGGCGAGCGUUGUCCGGAAUUACUGGGCGUAAAGGGCAUGCAGGCGGUGCGCCAAGUCGGGGGUGUAAAGUUACGGCUCAACCGUGACCUUGCAAUCGAAACUGGCGCACUGGAGUGCGGGAGAGGGAAGUGGAAUUCCCGGUGUAGCGG
Molecule: ribosomal RNA, 662 nt
Filed under: uncultured bacterium
Lineage: Bacteria
Description: bacterial SSU rRNA
Rfam family: Bacterial small subunit ribosomal RNA
Source: RNAcentral